Molecule: ribosomal RNA, 866 nt
Filed under: Sordariomycetes sp. genotype 16
Lineage: Eukaryota; Fungi; Ascomycota; Sordariomycetes
Description: eukaryotic LSU rRNA
Rfam family: Eukaryotic large subunit ribosomal RNA (bases 371-866)
Source: RNAcentral
UACCAAAACUCUUUUGUAUUUUAGUGGCCUCUCUGAGAAAACAAGCAAAUAAGUUAAAACUUUCAACAACGGAUCUCUUGGUUCUGGCAUCGAUGAAGAACGCAGCGAAAUGCGAUAAGUAAUGUGAAUUGCAGAAUUCAGUGAAUCAUCGAAUCUUUGAACGCACAUUGCGCCCGCCAGUACUCUGGCGGGCAUGCCUGUUCGAGCGUCAUUUCAACCCUCAAGCCCUGCUUGGUGUUGGGGUCCUACGGCUGCCGUAGGCCCUGAAAGCUAGUGGCGGGCUCGCUAUAACUCCGAGCGUAGUAGUAAAAUAUCUCGCUAGGGAGGUGUCGCGGGUUCCGGCCGUGAAAGCCCAUCUUUUACACAAGGUUGACCUCGGAUCAGGUAGGAAUACCCGCUGAACUUAAGCAUAUCAAUAAGCGGAGGAAAAGAAACCAACAGGGAUUGCCCCAGUAACGGCGAGUGAAGCGGCAACAGCUCAAAUUUGAAAUCUGGCUUCGGCCCGAGUUGUAAUUUGUAGAGGAUGCUUUUGGUGAGGUGCCUUCUGAGUUCCCUGGAACGGGACGCCAGAGAGGGUGAGAGCCCCGUAUAGUUGGACACCGAGCCUCUGUAAAGCUCCUUCGACGAGUCGAGUAGUUUGGGAAUGCUGCUCAAAAUGGGAGGUAUAUCUCUUCUAAAGCUAAAUACUGGCCAGAGACCGAUAGCGCACAAGUAGAGUGAUCGAAAGAUGAAAAGCACUUUGAAAAGAGGGUUAAAUAGUACGUGAAAUUGUUGAAAGGGAAGCGCUUGUGACCAGACUUGUGCCCGGCUGAUCAUCCAGUGUUCUCACUGGUGCACUCUGCCGGGCUCAGGCCAGCGUCGGUUCU